GUGAAUCAUCAAAUUUUUGAACGCAAAUUGCACUCUCUGGUAUUCCGGAGAGUAUGCCUGUUUGAGGGUCAGUUUAAUUAAAAAUCGGUGUGGUGGCUGCCUUUGGUGGUGCCGGACGGGAUUGGGGUGGUUUUGCUUUGGGUAAGGUGACCUAAAUUUUUGCAUGAUUUUUUUAGGACGUAUAUAAGUGAAUGUACGUUUGUUUUAGAUAUAGAUUACUAGGUGUGGUCAUCCUCAUGAUUCGCGCCUAUAAUUUUUCAUCAAAUUGCCUUCAAUUCGGGUAGGAUGAC
This 290-nucleotide unclassified non-coding RNA is filed under the name Glomus sp. RNAcentral describes it as "partial contains 5.8S ribosomal RNA and internal transcribed spacer 2". The stretch from base 1 to 71 matches the Rfam family "5.8S ribosomal RNA", at positions 84 to 154 of the family's 154-position model. The record is from RNAcentral. Lineage: Eukaryota; Fungi; Glomeromycota; Glomeromycetes; Glomerales; Glomeraceae.